CACGUAGGGUGCGAGCGUUGUCCGGAAUUAUUGGGCGUAAAGAGUGUGUAGGCGGCGCUCUAAGUUCGGUGUGAAAUCUCUCGGCUUAACUGGGAGGGUGCGCCGGAAACUGGAGUGCUCGAACGUGGGAGAGGAAAGCGGAAUUCCUGGUGUAGCGGUGAAAUGCGUAGAUAUCAGGAGGAACACCUGCGGUGUAGACGGCUUUCUGGACCAUUGUUGACGCUGAGACACGAAAGCGUGGGUAGCAAACAGG
This 253-nucleotide ribosomal RNA is filed under the name uncultured bacterium. RNAcentral's name for it is "partial 16S ribosomal RNA". It matches the Rfam family "Bacterial small subunit ribosomal RNA", at positions 524 to 776 of the family's 1533-position model. The record is from RNAcentral.